RNAcentral lists this ribosomal RNA (480 nucleotides) under uncultured bacterium. RNAcentral's name for it is "partial 16S ribosomal RNA". It matches the Rfam family "Bacterial small subunit ribosomal RNA", at positions 28 to 507 of the family's 1533-position model. The record is from RNAcentral.
GAUGAACGCUAGCGGCAGGCCUAACACAUGCAAGUCGAGGGGUAGAAGGAGCUUGCUCCUUUGAGACCGGCGCACGGGUGCGUAACGCGUAUGCAAUCUACCUUGUACAGGGGAAUAGCCCAGAGAAAUUUGGAUUAAUGCCCCAUAGUAUAUAACCUUCGCAUGUUGGUUAUAUUAAAGUUCCAACGGUACAAGAUGAGCAUGCGUCCCAUUAGUUAGUUGGUAAGGUAACGGCUUACCAAGACGAUGAUGGGUAGGGGUCCUGAGAGGGAGAUCCCCCACACUGGUACUGAGACACGGACCAGACUCCUACGGGAGGCAGCAGUGAGGAAUAUUGGUCAAUGGUCGCAAGAUUGAACCAGCCAUGCCGCGUGCAGGAAGACGGUCCUAUGGAUUGUAAACUGCUUUUAUACAGGAAGAAACCCUCCCACGUGUGGGAGCUUGACGGUACUGUAGGAAUAAGGAUCGGCUAACUCCGUG